UGAUCCAGAGUACCACGAGACACGUGAAACCUUGUGGGAAGCAGGGAGGACCACCUCCCAAGGCUAAAUACUACCUGAUGACCGAUAGUGAAGCAGUACCGUGAGGGAAAGGUGAAAAGAACCCCGGGAGGGGAGUGAAAUAGAACCUGAAACCGUGUGCCUACAACCGGUCAAAGCCCCUUAUGAGGGUGAUGACGUGCUUUUUGUAGAACGAGCCAACGAGUUACGGUAUGUAGCAAGGUUAAGUACUUAAGGUACGGAGCCGAAGGGAAACCGAGUCUUAAUAGGGCGACUAGUUGCAUGCCGUAGACCCGAAACCGGGUGACCUAUCCAUGGCCAGGUUGAAGCGGGGGAGUAGUGGAGGUAGAGCACUGAAUGGGCUAGGGGGCAUAGCGCUUACCGAACCUUAUCAAACUCCGAAUGCCACAUACUAUUAGUCCGGCAGUCAGACUGCGAAAGAUAAGUUCCGUAGUCAAAAGGGAAACAGCCCAGAUCGUCAGCUAAGGUCCCAAAGUGUAAGUUAAGUGGAAAAGGAUGUGGGAUUUCUAAGACAACUAGGAUGUUGGCUUAGAAGCAGCCACUCAUUAAAAGAGUGCGUAAUAGCUCACUAGUCGAGAGAUCCUGCGCCGAAGAUGUCCGGGGCUCAAACUUACCACCGAAGCUACGGGUUCACACUUAUGUGUGAGCGGUAGAGGAGCGUCGUAAUCGGGCUGAAGUCGUACCGUAAGGAGCGGUGGACUGAUUACGAGUGAGAAUGUUGGCAUUAGUAGCGAGAUGUGGGUGAGAAUCCCACAGGCCGAAUAUCUAAGGUUUCCUCAGGAAGGUUCGUCCGCUGAGGGUUAGUCGGGACCUAAGCCGAGGCCGAAAGGCGUAGGCGAUGGACAAUCGGUUGAUAUUCCGAUACCACUACUGAUCGUUAUUAUCGAUGGUGUGACGGAGAAGGAUAGAGUGUGCUAGCUAUUGGAUGCUAGUCUAAGCGUUUAGGGAGUUAGGAAAGGCAAAUCCGUCCUAACAAUUCUGAGGCGUGAUGGGGAAGGUUCUACGGAACCGAAGUACUUGAUUCCAUGCUUCCAAGAAAAGCAUCUAGAGAGAGAUGUAGUGCCCGUACCGCAAACCGACACAGGUAGAUGAGGAGAGAAUCCUAAGGCCGGCGGAAGAAUCACAGUUAAGGAACUAGGCAAAUUGACCCCGUAACUUAGGGAGAAGGGGUGCCUGCGAGAGCAGGCCGCAGAGAAUAGGCCCAAGCAACUGUUUAGCAAAAACACAGGUCUCUGCUAAAGCGAAAGCUGAUGUAUAGGGGCUGACGCCUGCCCGGUGCUGGAAGGUUAAGGGGAACACUUAGCGCAAGCGAAGGUGUGAACUUAAGCCCCAGUAAACGGCGG
Molecule: ribosomal RNA, 1382 nt
Filed under: Megasphaera sp.
Lineage: Bacteria; Bacillati; Bacillota; Negativicutes; Veillonellales; Veillonellaceae
Description: partial 23S ribosomal RNA
Rfam family: Bacterial large subunit ribosomal RNA
Source: RNAcentral